RNAcentral lists this ribosomal RNA (667 nucleotides) under bacterium C-TJ32. RNAcentral describes it as "bacterial SSU rRNA". It matches the Rfam family "Bacterial small subunit ribosomal RNA", at positions 62 to 713 of the family's 1533-position model. The record is from RNAcentral.
UCGAGCGAAAGACAGGAGAUUGCUCCUUUGACGUUAGCGGCGGACGGGUGAGUAACACGUGGGUAACCUACCUAUAAGACUGGGAUAACUUCGGGAAACCGGAGCUAAUACCGGAUAAUAUUUCGAACCGCAUGGUUCGAUAGUGAAAGAUGGUUUUGCUAUCACUUAUAGAUGGACCCGCGCCGUAUUAGCUAGUUGGUAAGGUAACGGCUUACCAAGGCGACGAUACGUAGCCGACCUGAGAGGGUGAUCGGCCACACUGGAACUGAGACACGGUCCAGACUCCUACGGGAGGCAGCAGUAGGGAAUCUUCCGCAAUGGGCGAAAGCCUGACGGAGCAACGCCGCGUGAGUGAUGAAGGUCUUCGGAUCGUAAAACUCUGUUAUUAGGGAAGAACAUACGUGUAAGUAACUAUGCACGUCUUGACGGUACCUAAUCAGAAAGCCACGGCUAACUACGUGCCAGCAGCCGCGGUAAUACGUAGGUGGCAAGCGUUAUCCGGAAUUAUUGGGCGUAAAGCGCGCGUAGGCGGUUUUUUAAGUCUGAUGUGAAAGCCCACGGCUCAACCGUGGAGGGUCAUUGGAAACUGGAAAACUUGAGUGCAGAAGAGGAAAGUGGAAUUCCAUGUGUAGCGGUGAAAUGCGCAGAGAUAUGGAGGAACACCAGU